Molecule: ribosomal RNA, 638 nt
Filed under: uncultured bacterium
Lineage: Bacteria
Description: bacterial SSU rRNA
Rfam family: Bacterial small subunit ribosomal RNA
Source: RNAcentral
CGCGGCCUAUCAGCUUGUUGGUGAGGUAACGGCUCACCAAGGCAUUGACGGGUAGCUAGUCUGAGAGGACGAACAGCCACACUGGGACUGAGACACGGCCCAGACUCCUACGGGAGGCAGCAGUGGGGAAUCUUGCACAAUGGGCGAAAGCCUGAUGCAGCGACGCCGCGUGGGGGAUGAAGGCCCUAGGGUCGUAAACCCCUUUCAGUGGGGACGAAACUGACGGUACCCACAGAAGAAGGUCCGGCCAACUACGUGCCAGCAGCCGCGGUAAGACGUAGGGACCGAGCGUUGUCCGGAUUUAUUGGGCGUAAAGAGCUCGUAGGCGGUUGCGUAAGUCGGAUGUGAAAACUCGGGGCUCAACCCCGAGACGCCAUCCGAUACUGCGCUGACUUGAAUCCAGUAGGGGAGUGUGGAACUCCUGGUGUAGCGGUGAAAUGCGCAGAUAUCAGGAGGAACACCUAUGGCGAAGGCAGCACUCUGGGCUGGUAUUGACGCUGAGGAGCGAAAGCGUGGGUAGCAAACAGGAUUAGAUACCCUGGUAGUCCACGCCGUAAACGGUGGGCACUAGGUGUGGGGACUUUCAACGGUUUCCGUGCCGAAGCUAACGCAUUAAGUGCCCCGCCUGGGGAGUACGG